Molecule: ribosomal RNA, 237 nt
Filed under: uncultured bacterium
Lineage: Bacteria
Description: partial 16S ribosomal RNA
Rfam family: Bacterial small subunit ribosomal RNA
Source: RNAcentral
CGGGUGCGUAACACGUAAAGAACCUGUCCUGAAGAGGGGGAUAGCCCUGGGAAACUGGGGGUAAUACCGCAUAAUAUAUCAUUGUCGCAUGACAGAGAUAGGAAAGGGUGGAAACACUCACUUCAGGAGGGCUUUGCGGCCUAUCAGGUAGUUGGUGGGGUAAAGGCCUACCAAGCCGAAGACGGGUAGCUGGUCUGAGAGGAUGGUCAGCCACACUGGGACUGAGAUACGGCCCAG